AGUUUGAUCAUGGCUCAGAGUGAACGCUGGCGGCAGGCCUAACACAUGCAAGUCGAGCGGCAGCGCGGGGGGCGAACCCUGGCGGCGAGCGGCGGACGGGUGAGGAAUACAUCGGAAUCUGCCUUGUUGUGGGGGAUAACGUAGGGAAACUUACGCUAAUACCGCAUGAGACCGUAAGGUGAAAGUGGGGGAUCGCAAGACCUCACGCGACAAGAUGAGCCGAUGUCGGAUUAGCUAGUUGGUGAGGUAAAGGCUCACCAAGGCAACGAUCCGUAGCUGGUCUGAGAGGAUGAUCAGCCACACUGGGACUGAGACACGGCCCAGACUCCUACGGGAGGCAGCAGUGGGGAAUAUUGGACAAUGGGCGCAAGCCUGAUCCAGCCAUGCCGCGUGUGUGAAGAAGGCCUUCGGGUUGUAAAGCACUUUUGUUGGGAAAGAAAUCCUGUCGAUUAAUACUCGGCGGGGAUGACGGUACCCAAAGAAUAAGCACCGGCUAACUUCGUG
Molecule: ribosomal RNA, 504 nt
Filed under: uncultured bacterium
Lineage: Bacteria
Description: bacterial SSU rRNA
Rfam family: Bacterial small subunit ribosomal RNA
Source: RNAcentral